UUGAUCAUGGCUCAGGACGAACGCUGGCGGCGUGCUUAACACAUGAAAGUCGACCGAGGCCCCUUCCUUCGGGAAGGGUGUCCUAGCGGCGAACGGGUGAGUAACACGUGGGCAACCUGCCCCUAGCUCUGGGAUAAGCCGGGGAAACCCGGUCUAAUACCGGAUACGACCUCGAAGGGCAUCCUCCGAGGUGGAAAGGGUUUACUGGCUAGGGAUGGGCCCGCGGCCUAUCAGCUUGUUGGUGGGGUAACGGCCCACCAAGGCUUCGACGGGUAGCCGGCCUGAGAGGGCGACCGGCCACACUGGGACUGAGACACGGCCCAGACUCGUACGGGAGGCAGCAGUGGGGAAUAUUGCACAAUGGGCGAAAGCCUGAURCAGCGACGCCGCGUGAGGGAUGACGGCCUUCGGGUUGUAAACCUCUUUCAGCAGGGACGAAGCGAAAGUGACGGUAC
Molecule: ribosomal RNA, 455 nt
Filed under: bacterium Ellin438
Lineage: Bacteria; Bacillati; Actinomycetota; Actinomycetes; Actinomycetales
Description: bacterial SSU rRNA
Rfam family: Bacterial small subunit ribosomal RNA
Source: RNAcentral